Non-coding RNA from Paramuricea clavata, 202 nucleotides. The record is from the annotation of a GenBank genome assembly. NCBI's taxonomy places the organism in Eukaryota, Metazoa, Cnidaria, Anthozoa, Malacalcyonacea, Plexauridae.
UUGCAUUGGUGUUGGAACGGGCAUGAUUGCUCUGAUCACCUACUGCUGUUGUCGCUAUGGUCGUAACUAAUGCAUUUUUAAUAUGUUAUUGACAAAGGCCAAAUUAUUAUGGAUUAUUAUUCUGUAAUAAAUUCGCCCUAUUACGGCAAUGCACGAUGUAGAUUGAUUACUCACUCCGAGAAUAGAAAACGAGCUGCGUGCG